Long non-coding RNA from Molossus molossus (Pallas's mastiff bat), 1082 nucleotides. RefSeq lists it as uncharacterized. The transcript is spliced from 4 exons. The record is from RefSeq and is a predicted model, not a curated record. NCBI's taxonomy places the organism in Eukaryota, Metazoa, Chordata, Mammalia, Chiroptera, Molossidae.
GGGAGGGGACCAAUCGGUAGAGACCGUGAACCUAAAAGAACCCACCUGGGAAGCUGAUGAAUAUUCUAUUGAGAUCCUGGCCUGAGACCUCCCUAAAGCUCCUGCCUUUAAAGAACAGACGGAACCUCUUCAGAUGAAAGACCAGCCUGAGCACCCUCUUCGCUCUCCCAAGCCUGCCUGUGCCUUUCUCCGCCCCUUCAUUUCCUCGGGGUGCUUUCUCUGCGCCCUGUGCCUCUCCCCCUUCUUCCAGCUGAACUCAAGGACCAAGGUCUAACCCCACUGGUAACAUCUGGCACCAUUCGCUGUUAACAAAACUGCAACGUAAAAAUAAAUGCCAAAACAGCUUAAGAUCCAAGUUCUGGAGCACGUAGACGUCACUAUUCCGCUAUGAAGCGCGUGUAAGAUAACACAGGUGCUGCAUCAAAACCUCCAGAAGUCCCAAAGCAACUAACUGCUUCACGAGUCCUUUCAAACUAGCUUCUGUGUCCUUUUGGCAUAUCACCGUGGGGAAGCCAGCCGCCACCUGGCAGCAGCGCUACGCAGAGGACCACAUCAUAAAGAGCUGAGUACCGUGGACAACAGCCCCUGGGUGAGCCUCAAGAUUAUCAUGGCCCCGCUGACACUGUGCACCCUCGUGAGAAACCCUGGGCCAGAAGCACCGGCUCAGCUGCUCCUACAUCCCAGACCCACACAAACUAGUGGAGAAGACACAGUUCUUGUUUAAAGCAGCUAAGUUUGGGGGUAACUUGUGAUGCAACAACAAAAAAAUGAAUGCACCCCAAUAUCACCACUUUCAGUCCAUCAUGAUGGGAUUCGUUCUAGAUUUCUCUCUCUCCAUAUGUGCAACUCCCCCUCUGACCAUGAGAAGCAUGGCUACCAUUAUCCUCAACACACUUGCUGGUCAGUCUCCCUCUGCAUAACCGAUUCCACUGCUGUGCCAUCAUCCUCCCCUGUGUUUCAUCCUCCCCCUUUCAACACCCCUCGUAAGUUGCUGUUGGGAAAAUCAGACACCAACUUACACCACACACAAGAAUACACUCAAAAUGGAUAAAAGACUUAAAUGUGACUCGUGAUUCCAUAAA